UGAACGCUGACAUGCACCAAGUGGUC
This 26-nucleotide non-coding RNA is filed under the name Rattus norvegicus (Norway rat). Lineage: Eukaryota; Metazoa; Chordata; Mammalia; Rodentia; Muridae. The record is from RNAcentral.